AAUUCGAUUGUUUCAGCCGCCGCGGUAAUACGGAGGAUGCGAGCGUUAUCCGGAUUUAUUGGGUUUAAAGGGUGGGUAGGCGGAUUAAUAAGUCAGUGGUGAAAACCUGGAGCUUAACUGUAGAAUUGCCAUUGAUACUGUUAGUCUUGAGUACGGUCAAGGUAGGGGGAAUGUGUAAUGGAGCGGUGAAAUGGUUAGAUAUUACACAGAACACCGAUUGGGAAGGGAGCUUACUGGGCCAUUACUGACGCUGAUGGACGAAAGCGUGGGGAGCGAACAGGAUUAGAUACCCUGGUAGUCCACGCCGUAAACGAUGAUCACUCGCUGUUAGCGAUACACAGUUAGCGGGUAAGCAAAAGCAUUAAGUGAUCCACCUGGGGAGUACGGUCGCAAGACUGAAACUCAAAGGAAUUGACGGGGGCCCGCACAAGCGGAGGAACAUGUGGUUUAAUUCGAUGAUACGCGAGGAACCUUACCUGGGCUUAAAUGUAGAGUGGAUGAGGUAGAAAUACUUCUUUCCUUCGGGACUCUUUGCAAGGUGCUGCAUGGUUGUCGUCAGCUCGUGCCGUGAGGUGUCGGGUUAAGUCCCAUAACGAGCGCAACCCUUAUCGUUAGUUGCCACCGGGUAAUGCCGGGAACUCUAACGAAACUGCCGGUGUAAACCGUGAGGAAGGUGGGGAUGACGUCAAAUCAGCACGGCCCUUAUGUCCAGGGCUACACACGUGUUACAAUGGCCGGUACAGAGGCCAGCUACCUGGAGACAGGAUGCGAAUCUCCAAAGCCGGUCUCAGUUCGGAUCGGAGUCUGCAACUCGACUCCGUGAAGCUGGAUUCGCUAGUAAUCGCGCAUCAGCCAUGGCGCGGGGAAUACGUUCCCGGCCCUUGUACACACCGCCCGUCAAACA
Molecule: ribosomal RNA, 904 nt
Filed under: uncultured bacterium
Lineage: Bacteria
Description: bacterial SSU rRNA
Rfam family: Bacterial small subunit ribosomal RNA
Source: RNAcentral